This is a long non-coding RNA of Ailuropoda melanoleuca (giant panda), 2686 nucleotides long. RefSeq lists it as uncharacterized. The record is from RefSeq and is a predicted model, not a curated record. The transcript is spliced from 2 exons. Lineage: Eukaryota; Metazoa; Chordata; Mammalia; Carnivora; Ursidae.
UACUGCAUGGAUGGUGGGAGAGUUUUAGUACUUUUUGAUUAUUGAUAGAAAAUCCCAAAGCAUUAGGAGUAAAAGUCUUAAGGCAUGUCAUUGGAAGAAGUUUGGUGUAAAAAAAAAAAAACUAAAAAAAAAGAAAGAGAAAGUUUUUGCUAUAAGAAUGCCUGACAAAUGGAAUAUUACCUUUCUUUGUCAUUAAACAUUUGUCUUUAAGAUAUUAAAAAUGGAACUUUUGUGUUAUGGCAGUAUCUCAUGGUCAUUAUUCUGGAUAUUAGUGAUCAUUUUAUGUUCCUAGAAGUGUAAGGGACUGAAUCAGUUGUGAUAGUAACCUUAUUCUUACUUUUUCUGUAAUGUUACUUCUCACAUUAUGUUUACAUUUUUCUCUUCCAAAGCAGUGAUUUUAAUGGAUACGGGUGGACUGUCCAGUUAGGAUUUACUGGAGCGGUUACUUCUGUAGGCCACUAGAUGGCAUGGAGAGCAAGUUCUUCAGUCAACCGGUCCGUCAGUGUUUUGUGUCCCAGGUUCUGUUUGGUACUAGGGUGGAGUGGUAGUCAAGGUAGAUAUGGUCCCUGCCCUCAUGGGGGGACACAUCACCGACAAUGAAAUAGGUAAUUAAGACAUUUAAUAAAUGCUAUGCGAAAAAAAUACAGGAUCUUGAGGCUAAAUAUAUGCCAUCUGAAAAUUAAAUACAAUUAAAACUUGACAUGUACACAGACUUCAUGUUUGGAUGAUGCUAUUCCUUACAAAUGAUUUAAAUAGAACUCCUAUUCCCUGCUAAACUUACAGUCUUUGUUACAGUUGUUUCAGAAUUCUAGUUGAAUGAUACUUAAAGUCCUUGUUUUUGCUUUCUACCUGGGACACUGCCCUGUUACCAAGUAACAGGGUAUUUCUUUUUUCUUUUUGUUAGUUCUAUCCUACAUUGUCUUCUAAAAAUUCUAUUAAAAACCACUGUUUUUCAGGCUAAAUUUCUAAUUGUGAAAGCUUUUGGUAGGGCAGGGUUUUUUCCUUCCUUUUAGCUUAUCCGAUAUGAGAAUGUUACAGUCCUCAUUUGGUGGUGGUGUUCGCCAGUUUGUGAAGGGGGUUAAAGAAAAGUGGAUUUGCCUUCCAUCUUUCUUAUGGGUUUAAUAAAUUGAGGAACUAGGGCUGUAUUUUAGGCUCUAUACUAGGCAGUUUAUACGAUAUCUCAGCAGCCUCAAAUUCCAUUUACAGAUGGGAAAGAUAAGCUUGAAGAGUUUUAAAUAACUUGUUUAAGGUCCUAUAACUAAUAAUUGCCACAGUUGGCGUUCAGGCAAAACCAGGGACUUCUUACUUCAAAAUUUAAGAUCUUUCUGGUGCUUCUUACAUGUACAAUAUUUUAGAAGUUUCUGGGUCAUUCUUUUUUGAACAUUAGCCAAAAUUUUAAAAAACAGCUUUUAACUUGAUUUCUUCAUAGCACCCUAGAACAGGGGUCGGCAAACUUUUCCUUAAAGGGCCAGUUAGUAGCUCAUUCUGGGCCUUGUGGGCCGUAUGGUCUUUGUUGCAGCUACUCAGUCUGCUGUCGGGCUUACAGCACUCGUAGACAACAGGAAAUGGCUGUGUUCGGUAAAACUGGAUUCGUUAGUGUAGAUGGCAGCAGGCCAUACUUUGCCAGCCCGUACCGUAGAAGAUACUUGCUGAGACUUCAGCCUGUCUUGUGAUUUACCCCCAUAUUCUAAACUUAGUGUGCUAAAUGCUAGUUAAUUGAUGUAUCCAGUUUGUUAGGUUACUUUAUUAGAGAUUGUAUUCUAGGAGCCCAGUGCGGAACUCGAUUCCAGGACUCUGGGAUCACGCCCUGAGCCGAAGGCAGACGCUUGACGACUGAGCCACCCAGGUGCCCCUUAUUACUUCUUUCCUAACAUCGCUAUAAAAAAAGUCUUUUGACCUCAGUGUUUAUAAAAUACUUUGUUUUUAUAGAUAAUAGAAAUAUCAAAAGAUGAUUUAAUCCAAACUCUUCUCAUCGAUGAAGUAGCUGUGGUCUUUACAGGUUAAAUAUGUCCAAGGUUAAAUAGCUCCUUAGUGGCAAAUCUAGAAGAAGAAUGUUUAUAUCCUGAUUUUUAGACCACUGUACUUCUUCUAGUUCUAGCUUUUGGCUUUGUAGAUGUUCCUCUUGUUAGCCACUGAUAGCAGAUACUAUGGGAUUAAUGGUCUUAUUAGGGUUCUUACACUAUAAAACGGGGAACCACAUGAGCUGAUACAGAAUUUUUAAAAUAAAUUUUAAAAAAUUAUGUCUGAAAGCUCUUCCAAAGAAAUUAUUCUCAGAGUUCAUUAAAAAAUCUCAUGGGGCUCCUGAGUCAUUCAGUCCAGUAAGCGUCUGCCUUUGGCUUAGGCUCCCUGCUCAGCGGGGAGUCUGCUUCUUCUCUCCCUCUUGCCUCUCCCCCUGCUCCUUCUCUCUCUCUCUCCAUCACCCUCUCUCAGAUAAAUGUUUAAAAAAAAAUUACUGUGUGGCUUGUAGCUACUAGCAUUCUAUCAAUGGGAAGAUCUAGAGAUUAAGACAUGUUUUUAACUCUUAAAGUGUGUUUAACUCAAAAUCUAAGACUUAUGCAUGCAAGAUUAUGCAUAAUUUAUGUGUAAAAAUAUGUAAUUGUUAUAUAUUUAUAUAUAAAAUCUAUUCAGUAUGUAAGUAAAGAACUAAAAGGCGAAGUGCUCUUUUAGUUGUGGUAUUGACAAAAGC